This 911-nucleotide ribosomal RNA is filed under the name Ctenomyces bossae. Its description in RNAcentral is "LSU rRNA". It matches the Rfam family "Eukaryotic large subunit ribosomal RNA", at positions 38 to 965 of the family's 3401-position model. Lineage: Eukaryota; Fungi; Ascomycota; Eurotiomycetes; Onygenales; Arthrodermataceae. The record is from RNAcentral.
GCAUAUCAAUAAGCGGAGGAAAAGAAACCAACAGGGAUUGCCCCAGUAACGGCGAGUGAAGCGGCAAGAGCUCAAAUUUGAAAUCUGGCCUCCCCCGGGGGCCCGAGUUGUAAUUUGCAGAGGAUGUUUCGGGUGCGGCCGCCGUCUAAGUUCCUUGGAACAGGACGUCAGAGAGGGUGAGAAUCCCGUCUUGGGCGGGCGGUCCGCGCCCGUGUGAAGCUCCUUCGACGAGUCGAGUUGUUUGGGAAUGCAGCUCUAAGCGGGUGGUAAAUUUCAUCUAAAGCUAAAUAUUGGCCGGAGACCGAUAGCGCACAAGUAGAGUGAUCGAAAGGUUAAAAGCACCUUGAAAAGGGAGUUAAACAGCACGUGAAAUUGUUGAAAGGGAAGCGCUUGCGGCCAGACUCGGGGGCGGGGUUCAGCGGGUGCUCGUCGCCCGUGUAUUCCUCGUUUCCCGGGCCAGCAUCAGUUUCGACGGCCGGUCAAAGGCCCCCGGAAUGUGUCGUCUCUCGGGACGUCUUAUAGCCGGGGGUGCAAUGCGGCCCGUCGGGACUGAGGAACGCGCUCCGGCUCGGAUGCUGGCGUAAUGGCCGUAAGCGGCCCGUCUUGAAACACGGACCAAGGAGUCUAACAUCCACGCGAGUGUUCGGGUGUCAAACCCGUGCGCGCAGUGAAAGCGAACGGAGGUGGGAGCCCUAGGGCGCACCAUCGACCGAUCCUGAAGUCUUCGGAUGGAUUUGAGUAGGAGCGUGGCCGUUGGGACCCGAAAGAUGGUGAACUAUGCCUGAAUAGGGUGAAGCCAGAGGAAACUCUGGUGGAGGCUCGCAGCGGUUCUGACGUGCAAAUCGAUCGUCGAAUUUGGGCAUAGGGGGCGAAAGACUAAUCAAACCAUCUAGUAGCUGGUUCCUGCCGAA